This 492-nucleotide ribosomal RNA is filed under the name uncultured bacterium. RNAcentral's name for it is "partial 16S ribosomal RNA". It matches the Rfam family "Bacterial small subunit ribosomal RNA", at positions 28 to 507 of the family's 1533-position model. The record is from RNAcentral.
GAUGAACGCUAGCUACAGGCUUAACACAUGCAAGUCGAGGGGAAACGGCAUUAAGUUCUUGCACUUUUUGGACGUCGACCGGCGCACGGGUGAGUAACGCGUAUCCCACCUUCCCAUGACUAAUUGAUAACCUUCCGAAAGGCAGACUAAUACCUUAUGUUCUUCACUGACGGCAUCAGAUGUUAAGUAAAGAUUUGUCUGUUAUGGAUGGGGAUGCGUCUGAUUAGCUUGUUGGCGGGUUAACGGCCCACCAAGGCAACGAUCAGUAGGGGUUCGGAGAGGAAGGUGCCUGAGAUGGGAACUGAGAAAAGGUCCAAAGACAUACGGGAGGCAGCAGUGAGGAAGAUUGGUGAAUGGGAGAGAGCAUGAAGCAGCCAAGUAGCGUGCAGGAAGACGGCCCUAUGGGUUGUAAACUGCUGUUGUAUGGGGAUAAAGGCAAUCACGUGUGAGUGUUUGAAGGUACCAUACGAAUAAGGACCGGCUAAUUACGUG